Non-coding RNA from Triticum aestivum (bread wheat), 84 nucleotides. The record is from Rfam. Lineage: Eukaryota; Viridiplantae; Streptophyta; Magnoliopsida; Poales; Poaceae.
UGGUGGUGAUUUGAAUUUUAACAUGCUUCUGAUUAAUUAAUGAAGUACUAGGUAAACAAUGGUUGAAUUUCUUAAUAUGAGCCA